GUGCUCGCUUUGGCAGCACAUACACUAAAAUUGGAACAAUACAGAGAAGAUCAGCAUGGUCUCCGCGCAAGGAUGACAUGCAAAUUUGUGAAGCAUUCCAUAUUUUU
Molecule: small nuclear RNA, 107 nt
Organism: Cavia aperea (Brazilian guinea pig)
Lineage: Eukaryota; Metazoa; Chordata; Mammalia; Rodentia; Caviidae
Source: Ensembl